Gorilla gorilla gorilla (western lowland gorilla) is the source of this 111-nucleotide unclassified non-coding RNA. It matches the Rfam family "Y RNA". Rfam says of the family: Y RNAs are components of the Ro ribonucleoprotein particle (Ro RNP), in association with Ro60 and La proteins. The Y RNAs and Ro60 and La proteins are well conserved, but the function of the Ro RNP is not known. Lineage: Eukaryota; Metazoa; Chordata; Mammalia; Primates; Hominidae. The record is from Ensembl.
AGCUGGUUUGAAGACAGUGUUAUCUCAAUUAAUUGUUCACAGUCAGUUACGGAUCAAACUCUUUGUUCUACUCUUUCCCCAUUUCUCACUACUGCACUUGACUAGUCUAGA